AUGAACGCUAGCGACAGGCCUAACACAUGCAAGUCGAGGGGCAGCACAAGGAGCAAUCUGAGGUGGCGACCGGCGCACGGGUGAGUAACACGUAUGCAACCUGCCUGUAAGCGGGAAUAACCCGUGAAAGACGGACUAAUACCGCAUAAUACUAAAUUACUGCAUGGUAAUUUAUUUAAACAUUUAUGGCUUACAGAUGGGCAUGCGCAUGAUUAGCUAGUUGGAGAGGUAACGGCUCCCCAAGGCAACGAUCAUUAGGGGUUCUGAGAGGAAGGUCCCCCACACUGGUACUGAGACACGGACCAGACUCCUACGGGAGGCAGCAGUGAGGAAUAUUGGUCAAUGGACGAGAGUCUGAACCAGCCAAGUCGCGUGCAGGAAGAAUGUUCCCUAUGGAUUGUAAACUGCUUUUGCAGGGGAAUAAAGUGCAUCACGUGUGAUGUUUUGUAUGUACUCUGCGAAUAAGGAUCGGCUAACUCCGUGCCAGCCGCCGC
RNAcentral lists this ribosomal RNA (494 nucleotides) under uncultured bacterium. RNAcentral describes it as "bacterial SSU rRNA". It matches the Rfam family "Bacterial small subunit ribosomal RNA", at positions 29 to 518 of the family's 1533-position model. The record is from RNAcentral.